RNAcentral lists this transfer RNA (60 nucleotides) under Undinula vulgaris. Its description in RNAcentral is "tRNA-Ser". The record is from RNAcentral. Lineage: Eukaryota; Metazoa; Arthropoda; Copepoda; Calanoida; Calanidae.
UAAAUUGUUAAAAUAUUUAAAUUUCUAAUUUAAAAUAAAAGCAUCAGUGUUUCAAUUUUU